AGCAUCGUGGACGAGUAGAUAAGUCGCUGUGCCUCUCAAGCAUGGAGAAGCGGGUGCAACUCCCGUCGAUGCUCCCA
This 77-nucleotide transfer RNA is filed under the name Acaryochloris sp. RU_4_1. Its description in RNAcentral is "tRNA-Glu". It matches the Rfam family "tRNA". Rfam says of the family: Transfer RNA (tRNA) molecules are approximately 80 nucleotides in length. Lineage: Bacteria; Bacillati; Cyanobacteriota; Cyanophyceae; Acaryochloridales; Acaryochloridaceae. The record is from RNAcentral.